RNAcentral lists this ribosomal RNA (449 nucleotides) under uncultured bacterium. RNAcentral describes it as "partial 16S ribosomal RNA". It matches the Rfam family "Bacterial small subunit ribosomal RNA", at positions 29 to 523 of the family's 1533-position model. The record is from RNAcentral.
AACGAACGCUGGCGGCAGGCUUAACACAUGCAAGUCGAACGCAUCCUUCGGGGUGAGUGGCAGACGGGUGAGUAACGCGUGGGCACGUGCCCUUCAGUUCGGAAUAACCCAGGGAAACUUGGGCUAAUACCGGAUACGUGCGAGAGCAGAAAGAUUUAUCGCUGAAGGAUCGGCCCGCGUCUGAUUAGCUAGUGGGUGGGGUAAGGGCCCACCAAGGCGACGAUCAGUAGCUGGUCUGAGAGGAAGAUCAGCUACAUUGGGACGGAGACACGGCCCAAACUCCUACGGGAGGCAGCGGUGGGGAAGAUUGGACAAUGGGCGCAAGCCUGAUCCAGCCAUGCCGCGUGAGUGAUGACGGCCUUAGGGUUGUAAAGCUCUUUCGUCCGGGACGAUAAUGACGGUACCGGAAGAAGAAGCCCCGGCUAACUUCGUGCCAGCAGCCGCCGCCG